ACAUCCAGCUCACUGUACAACCUAUCUCUUAUACACACUUGUUCUAAAGCAAAAAUUUUAAAAAAGUGUUUGAAUUGAAUUUGUUUUCCAUUUCUGCAGCUUGAACCUAGAUUCCAAAAGAAAUUCUCAUCCUUCAAGUUCUUGAACGUGGUGACAUUCAGGUAAUUUGUCUUAUUCUGUUACAAUUUAAAAGUACUGUCCUAGAAUCUGAUAUUUUAAAUAAUAUAUAUAUAUUUUUCAUUUUGCAGAAAAGGAUCAAUCAUCAAUGAAAUGAACCUUGGCUUUGCAAGCACAUUUGUUCCUAAUAACACUCAGAUUGCAAAUGUUUUGAUCGAUGCAUCUCCAAUUGUCACUGGCUUCGACAUUGAAGGCAGCUCCAUCACUGUGAAUGGCAUAGUUUCAAGUGGAGUGAGCCACACGAUCAGUCUCAUCACUGCAUCCUGCCUUGUACUGUUGUCAUGGCUACUGACAAGCCAACAAUAGCAUCAAUGCUGAUUUCCUUUUGAGUUGCCAUCAGAACAUGACUGCCAUCACUGACAUGAAAAGUCAAAUCAAAAUACAAUAUUUGUAAUUGUCUUAGGUGUUUUACGGCUUUGGAAAAAUGUACUACUAAUGAAACUUUGCACUUAACUGAUAUAUUUAUGACUUAUGAUUUCUGAGUGAAUUGGGUAUGCUUGUCGAACUGAAACUGUUUCUGUGUGGGAACAUCCAGGAUCCUGGAACAGACAGAAUGACACAGACAACUUUAUACACACGGUCCACUGUAUCAUCACUAGAAUAAUAAGCCAAACUAUAUAAGAACACUAUCUAUUAAACCAUGGGAAGUCAGAAAAUAAUUACUGCACUAUUGCACUAUUAAUGUAAAAAUUAAUCUUGUUUCACUGAGCACUGUGCUUUAGCUAUAUUUAAUGUUAAGUCAAUUGAUAAUGCUGUGUUGUUCAGUCUUGUUCACCAAACAAGUAAAAUCAGCCACACUGGAAAGUAAAACCAUGAAAUCUCUCUCACCAUUGUCUGAAUGCAAUUGUUGAUACAUUUUUUUUAAACAUGCAGAUUGAGAAAUGUCAAUGUUAGAUUUCAAACUGUUAAGUAAGUCUACAUUAAAACAUUUUUUGUCAUUUUUACAAGAAAACAAUCAAAAUCCUCCCGUUUUACUUUGAUCUAAAUUUUUCUAUAGUCUCCAAAUGCAAAUAAAAUUAAUUUUCAUUAAAUUCAGACAACAUAACAUAACAUCAUGAUAACAUCUCUGUAGAAAGCAUAUUGUAAAGAGAACAAGAGCUUUAACUUAAAUGAAGGAACAAAUGGAGCUCAUAGUGGGCUCUUAAUGAAUUUUAUCAAGGGUCAUGGUAAACACAUGUCAGAAAAAUGUCAGUUUUCUUAUUUAUACAAUGUGCAUGUAUGUAAUCAUAAUGUAUCUAGCUAUAUUCUCAGAUUUCUUGUAAUUUGUACAAUUUCUGUCAGAAACUUUACAAUGAUCGGAAUACAAAAUCUUUGAAGAAUUGAACCGUCUCUGUUGUCAUGUGUUGCAAUUUUGGUGGGUUGGUCAGG
This 1545-nucleotide long non-coding RNA is filed under the name Dicentrarchus labrax (European seabass). RNAcentral's name for it is "lncRNA (ENSDLAG00005029270.1)". The record is from RNAcentral. Lineage: Eukaryota; Metazoa; Chordata; Actinopteri; Moronidae.